RNAcentral lists this ribosomal RNA (253 nucleotides) under uncultured bacterium. Its description in RNAcentral is "partial 16S ribosomal RNA". It matches the Rfam family "Bacterial small subunit ribosomal RNA", at positions 524 to 776 of the family's 1533-position model. The record is from RNAcentral.
UACGAAGGGGGCUAGCGUUGCUCGGAAUCACUGGGCGUAAAGCGCACGUAGGCGGAUUGCUAAGUCAGGGGUGAAAUCCUGGAGCUCAACUCCAGAACUGCCCUUGAUACUGGCGGUCUCGAGUCCGGGAGAGGUGAGUGGAACUGCGAGUGUAGAGGUGAAAUUCGUAGAUAUUCGGAGGAACACCAGUGGCGAAGGCGGCUCACUGGUCCAUUACUGACGCUGAGGUGCGAAAGCGUGGGGAGCAAACAGG